AGUGAACGCUGGCGGUAGGCCUAACACAUGCAAGUCGAACGGCAGCACAGUAAGCGCUUGCUCUUACGGGUGGCGAGUGGCGGACGGGUGAGGCAUACAUCGGAAUCUACUUUUUCGUGGGGGAUAACGUAGGGCCACUUACGCUACUACCUCAUACGACCUACGGGUGAAAUCAGGGGAUCUUCGGACCUUUCGCGAUUGUAUUAGCCGAUGUCGGAUUAGCUAGUUGGCGUGGUAAAGGCCCACCAAGGCGACGAUCCGUAGCUGGUCUGAGAGGAUGAUCAGCCACACUGGAACUGAGACACGGUCCAGACUCCUACGGGAGGCAGCAGUGGGGAAUAUUGGACAAUGGGCGAAAGCCUGAUCCAGCCAUACCGCGUGGGUGAAGAAGGCCUUCGGGUUGUAAAGCUCUGUUGUUGGGAAAGAAAAGAAGCAGGUGAAUACCCCGCUGUUCUGACGGUACCCAAAGAAUAAGCACCGGCUAACUUCGUG
This 492-nucleotide ribosomal RNA is filed under the name uncultured bacterium. Its description in RNAcentral is "partial 16S ribosomal RNA". It matches the Rfam family "Bacterial small subunit ribosomal RNA", at positions 29 to 507 of the family's 1533-position model. The record is from RNAcentral.